GAUGAACGCUAGCGGCAGGCUUAAUACAUGCAAGUCGAACGGUAAGUGUUAUAGCAAUAUAGCACGAGAGUGACGUACGGGUGCGUAACACGUAUGCAACCUACCUUGUACAGGAGGAUAGCUCGGGGAAACUCGAAUUAACCCUCCAUAAGAUCAUAGAAUGGCAUCAUUUAGUGAUAAAACUUAGGUGGUACAAGAUGGGCAUGCGUCUGAUAGUUAGUUGGUGGGGUAAUGGCUCACCAAGACGAUGAUCAGUAGGGGACCUGAGAGGGUGAUCCCCCACACU
This 286-nucleotide ribosomal RNA is filed under the name uncultured bacterium. RNAcentral describes it as "partial 16S ribosomal RNA". It matches the Rfam family "Bacterial small subunit ribosomal RNA", at positions 28 to 314 of the family's 1533-position model. The record is from RNAcentral.